AGGCUAAAGAAGCCUCAGAAUGCCAUACAGAAGUAGUGCUUCUAUAGUGUUAAUACAAAAGCCUUACUUAGAAGAUAGAAGGAAAAAAAGAACACGCUGGAUGUUAGGAAUAUUUUGUGGCACCUAAAGGGGGACAAAGAAAGACAUUCAAGACAUCUAAUGUACACAUUGGGGAUAAAUCAUUCUACUGUAUUGUACAGUAAAAUGUUACCUUUCCAGAUGGGUGGUUUUAAUUUCAAAUUAAAAACAGGUAUUAAAGAACAAAUUAAAAUUAAAGAUUAAAAAAAAAAAUUGGGUAUUAUUCUCCAUAUUUGAGAAAUGGUCUCCAUAUCUGAAUUCAAUACUGGUUGAGUUUCUGUUCAACAGGUAAAGCUAGUGCCAAACAAUAAGGAUAAAAAAUAUAGAAGAAGUAAUCCCUUGAUCAGCAUUUAUUUAAAAACAAUAAAGUGAAUACUGCAACAUUAAAGAAUAAAGAAAAGACUAAGAUGUGUUUACCAUCCUUAAUCAUAAAAAGUAUACCAUCCCUUCAACGUCAAACUCAGCAAAAAAUGUGAAUGCAUGAAACUGAACUGACUGGAUGCUUUGUCUCUUGCAAUAACAAGUGACAGACUGCAAACUAACACUGCAUGGAAUGCUUAUUGGUCGACCAAUGCCAAUACCAAUGUCUGCGCAAUACUAUAUAACAAAAAUUCAUCCCCAAAAAGGACUUCCUCUGGAACGACUGCAGAUGGAGCUUUUGGAACAAUUACAAAUAAAGAUGAGAUCUUAUGUGAUAAAACUAAUUGUAUGCAUAAGCUAUUUGUGCGCAGGGAAAAAGAAAAGGAGCCUGAUGAGGAGAUGGAGAUAAAAUGCCAUAUUAUGCCAUGGGAUCUAGUGUAUCUGAGGGUCUUCAGGAGAGAGUGACAUAAAACAAGGACCAAGGAGAGCAGCUCUAACAGCAGGCCAAGGGGGAAGGAGCACAUCUGAUGUCAUCUGAGCCAUUGCAAAAAGUUCCUAAAAUACCAGUCGAAGAAGAGGACAACAAAAACACGAUACAGAAGAGGAGAGCUGAGGAGCAGAGGAGAACUUAAACACAAUAAUGAAGAAGAGAGCUGAGGAAAAGAAAAUAAUAAAAGACAUGAUACAGAAGACAACAACAGAAAAAUUAAAAGCAAUUCAAGCCUACAAAGAGAUAAAAGAACGAAGUAAUGACCACCCAGGGCAUAUCAAGCAACAACAACAAAGUUAAGAAAAAUUUGUAAAUGAGAAGAGACUUUCAGGAGCAACAACCAAUGAGUGCAAAGCAGUGGAGUUCACAAGCAAUACACAGAGACAAAGUUGCUGCAAGGAUCAGUAACACUUUAGCGAGGACCAGUAACACCAGUGAGAAUUUAUUCUACAAUAAUCUCUGCAGAACCAAAGUUUAGAUAAAAUACUGAAGAUACCAAAACAAAAAGGAGACAAGGACAUCAACAGAAGAAAAAGGACGUCAACGGAAGGAAAAAAAAUAUGUUGGACAUUUUAUGGGAAACAAAAAAAAAACAUUAUGAAUGAAUGGUACAAAUGGGUAACUUUCAAAGCUAAGAGAAAUUGGUAUGAACAAUUGCUUAUUAUGCUCUAAAUCAUAAAAGGUAGGAAUAGUCAAAAGUCGACAUGAUAUUACAGGGGGGUUCGAUGUAACAAAUUGACAAAUUCUGGUUUAAAUAUCCAUUUUAUAGGGCAUAUUUUGGUAAAUAGUUAAUAUUGGGAAAGUUAAUAAAAGCAUUAAAAGGCAGAAUAGAAAUUCAAGAAAAACAAAUACUAAGGAAUAUUAAAGCUACAGUAGACCUUAUGGAACUAAAGAUGAGGGAUAUUUAAAGGGAAUAUUCUAUAACAUAGAACUUGAACAAAUCAAAUAUAAAAUUCCAAAAGCUAUUAUAAAUCCUUAAUAAUUUUGGCUUUAGGUAUGGAAAGGGUGGACAAUGCUGGUAUACAGUAAAAAGAAUGUGGGAAUCAGAUCAUAGCAGUGGACAUAUGAAGAUCAAACAGUAAUGUAAGCAGAAUUCUUUUGGUUUAAUUUUGAUUUGAUGGGAAAUGAUAACUUAUGGUGGUUUUGCAAUUAGAGAAGAAAUAUAUAUGUACAAGACUAAGGUUAAUUUAAGAAAUCAUCAUGAUUAUAUUGAAGUAUAUUGAACAAAAUACUGAGAAAACAAAUGAUAAAACUAAAAUAGUUUAUCCCUAAAUUGGUUUGGUAUUACCUGUUACAAUUUAAGCAAGAGAUGAGAUAAAAUCAUGGUUAGAAUAAAUAUUGAUUUAAUCUAGAAUUACUAAAUUAUAUCUACUAUAAUCAACAAAGGUUUAUUAAAUUUAACUAAUGAUGUUUUAACAAUUUUAGAAAAACAAUGAGAUACUACAAAGGGGUAUAGUUUUAUUGUAUGGAGAUUAAUGUUAUGCUAAAAAUACAACAUAGAUAUUCAUUGAAGCUAUCAAUAAGCUUAAGAGUUUAGGAUAAAAACUGCAACAAAUACAAGAAGAAAGAAUCUUAAUGUGGAAUUGGUGUGAUUUAAAAUUAGGAAAAUGGGUGAUUGUUUUGUCAAAUUCUCACAGACAUAUUUUUGUAUGUCAAAUGAUUAAAGGUAUAGGUUAAAGGAUGAAUAUUAUCAAAAGGUAAAGGAUGCAAAUUAUCAGAGGAUAAGGAUUUGUGAUUUUAAUUGGAUGGAUUGUUAUUUUAUUGUGUACUCCCUAUUUUGAAACAAAUGUUAAUGGAAAAUCAAGAUGAAAAGUUACUUCAUAUAGGAAAUUACAAAGUGCAUCAAAAUGGGUUUUGCAAAAGUUAGAAAAUGGUAAUAUUACAUCAGAAAAAGAUAAUGAAAAUAAUAAGUAUUGAAAAGGUAUUUGACUAAUUUCCACUCUUAUGAUGAAUAUGGAUGUUUUUAUGAGUUCUGAUUUUACAGCAACAAUGACAUAAUGAAGUAUAUUCCAUGAUCAUAAAGGUUUAUUAAUUGAAGGAGUAGGUUCUCUUACUUCUCCAAGAGAAAAUGUUUGUUCCACACUCCACCAAAGUGCGGCAGCAUGAUUUAAUCAUUGGUAAGGGAAAGAUGGCUUAAUUGGGCCAUUAAUUAGCUUAACUUAAUUGAACUGGAUUGUGAAGUUGCACUUUGGGUGAGACUUGUGAAAGUCUCAAAGGGUGGAAUGAAGAAGAUUUUUUUAAUUCAGAACUAUAUCUUUGGUGAACAUGGUAUUCAGAUUCAAAUGUGUUUUGCAAGUAAACAUGUCUCAUGCUUGUAAGCUGAAGACUAGCAGUCUUAAAGACUGCAAUGUAUGCAGGGUUUAAAAUAUGGUAACUGAGAGCAUACUGGAGCUAAAAAUGCAUAGGCUGACAUUUGGAAGGAAUGAAGUCACAACACCUGUCAAACAUAAAAACAUGCUAAAAACAACUACAUGGGAGGGGUUUCAACUUUUAGAGAACUGUAUAUUAGGUUGCAUUCUGAAAAAGACUCUUUAGUUGCUUGGCCACCAACUCGGCCUUAUUGUUGUAUGCAAUAAAGUCAUCUUUUGGCAAUGGAA
Non-coding RNA from Paramisgurnus dabryanus, 3525 nucleotides. Lineage: Eukaryota; Metazoa; Chordata; Actinopteri; Cypriniformes; Cobitidae. The record is from RefSeq and is a predicted model, not a curated record.